GAUGAAGAACUUAGCGAAAUGCGAUAAGUAAUGUGAAUUGCAGAAUUCAGUGAAUCAUCGAAUCUUUGAACGCACAUUGCGCCCGUCAGUAUUCUGGCGGGCAUGCCUGUUCGAGCGUCAUUACGCCCCUCAAGUCCCCUGUGGACUUGGUGUUGGGGAUCGGCGAGGCUGGUUUUCCAGCACAGCCGUCCCUUAAAUUAAUUGGCGGUCUCGCCGUGGCCCUCCUCUGCGCAGUAGUAAAACACUCGCAACAGGAGCCCGGCGCGGUCCACUGCCGUAAAACCCCCCAACUUUUUAUAGUUGACCUCGAAUCAGGUAGGACUACCCGCUGAACUUAAGCAUAUCAAUAAAGCGGAGGA
RNAcentral lists this unclassified non-coding RNA (359 nucleotides) under soil metagenome. Its description in RNAcentral is "partial contains 5.8S ribosomal RNA, internal transcribed spacer 2, and large subunit ribosomal RNA". The stretch from base 1 to 120 matches the Rfam family "5.8S ribosomal RNA", at positions 35 to 154 of the family's 154-position model. The record is from RNAcentral.